GACGAACGCUGGCGGCGUGCUUAACACAUGCAAGUCGAACGGAAAGGCCCUGCUUUUGUUUGGUUCUCGAUUGGCGAACGGGUGAGUAACACGUGAGUAACCUGCCCUUGACUUUGUGAUAACUUCAGGAAACUGGGGCUAAUACCGGAUAGGAUCUCCUGCUGCAUGUUGGGGGUUGGAAAGUUUCGGCGGUUGGGGAUGGACUCGCGGCUUAUCAGCUUGUUGGUGGGGUAGUGGCUUACCAAGGCUUUGACGGGUAGCCGGCCUGAGAGGGUGACCGGCCACAUUGGGACUGAGAUACGGCCCAGACUCCUACGGGAGGCAGCAGUGGGGAAUAUUGCACAAUGGGCGGAAGCCUGAUGCAGAAACGCCGCGUGCGGGAUGACGGCCUUCGGGUUGUAAACAGCUUUCGACUGUGACGAAGAGUGAGUGACGGUAAUGGGUAAAGAAGCACCGGCUAACUACGUG
This 468-nucleotide ribosomal RNA is filed under the name uncultured bacterium. Its description in RNAcentral is "partial 16S ribosomal RNA". It matches the Rfam family "Bacterial small subunit ribosomal RNA", at positions 28 to 507 of the family's 1533-position model. The record is from RNAcentral.